AGAGUUUGAUCCUGGCUCAGGAUGAACGCUAGCGGCAGGCUUAACACAUGCAAGUCGAGGGGUAUAGGUUUUCGGACCUAGAGACCGGCGCACGGGUGCGUAACGCGUAUGUAAUCUACCUUUUACAGAGGGAUAGCCCAGAGAAAUUUGGAUUAAUACCUCAUAGUAUUAUUGAAUGGCAUCAUUUAAUAAUUAAAGUCACAACGGUAAAAGAUGAGCAUGCGUCCCAUUAGCUUGUUGGUAAGGUAACGGCUUACCAAGGCAACGAUGGGUAGGGGUCCUGAGAGGGAGAUCCCCCACACUGGUACUGAGACACGGACCAGACUCCUACGGGAGGCAGCAGUGAGGAAUAUUGGUCAAUGGGCGCAAGCCUGAACCAGCCAUGCCGCGUGCAGGAUGACGGUCCUAUGGAUUGUAAACUGCUUUUGUACAGGAAGAAACAGUUCUACGUGUAGAACCUUGACGGUACUGUAAGAAUAAGGAUCGGCUAACUCCGUGCCAGCAGCCGCGGUAAUACGGAGGAUCCAAGCGUUAUCCGGAAUCAUUGGGUUUAAAGGGUCCGUAGGCGGUUUUGUAAGUCAGUGGUGAAAGCCCAUCGCUCAACGGUGGAACGGCCAUUGAUACUGCAAGACUUGAAUUAUUAGGAAGUAACUAGAAUAUGUAGUGUAGCGGUGAAAUGCUUAGAGAUUACAUGGAAUACCAAUUGCGAAGGCAGGUUACUACUAAUGGAUUGACGCUGAUGGACGAAAGCGUGGGUAGCGAACAGGAUUAGAUACCCUGGUAGUCCACGCCGUAAACGA
RNAcentral lists this ribosomal RNA (800 nucleotides) under uncultured bacterium. Its description in RNAcentral is "bacterial SSU rRNA". It matches the Rfam family "Bacterial small subunit ribosomal RNA", at positions 8 to 809 of the family's 1533-position model. The record is from RNAcentral.